AUGGCACCCACUUUGAGGACCAAUUUAGUAGGUGGACACUCCACAAAAAAUCUCCAAUGACCUCUUGCCAAGUGGCCUUCAGUCCAAGGUCCAUGGGUCAACGUUUGACCAAUGUCCUAAAACGAAAAUGGCAGGUGACAGGAAUUAGCAGGUGUUGUCUUAAAUUCAUCUCAUGAAUUAAGACAAGUCCUUUCUGAGCUGGACUGGUUCUAGUCAGACUGUGAGAAACCU
Molecule: long non-coding RNA, 231 nt
Filed under: Elaeis guineensis (African oil palm)
Lineage: Eukaryota; Viridiplantae; Streptophyta; Magnoliopsida; Arecales; Arecaceae
Description: long non-coding RNA (EGUI_LNC067429)
Source: RNAcentral